AGUGAACGCUGGCGGUAGGCCUAACACAUGCAAGUCGAACGGCAGCACAGUAAGAGCUUGCUCUUACGGGUGGCGAGUGGCGGACGGGUGAGGAAUACAUCGGAAUCUACUUUUUCGUGGGGGAUAACGUAGGGAAACUUACGCUAAUACCGCAUACGACCUACGGGUGAAAGCAGGGGAUCUUCGGACCUUGCUCGAUUGAAUGAGCCGAUGUCGGAUUAGCUAGUUGGCGGGGUAAAGGCCCACCAAGGCGACGAUCCGUAGCUGGUCUGAGAGGAUGAUCAGCCACACUGGAACUGAGACACGGUCCAGACUCCUACGGGAGGCAGCAGUGGGGAAUAUUGGACAAUGGGCGCAAGCCUGAUCCAGCCAUACCGCGUGGGUGAAGAAGGCCUUCGGGUUGUAAAGCCCUUUUGUUGGGAAAGAAAAGCAGCAGGUUAAUACCCCGCUGUUCCGACGGUACCCAAAGAAUAAGCACCGGCUAACUUCGUG
This 492-nucleotide ribosomal RNA is filed under the name uncultured bacterium. RNAcentral describes it as "partial 16S ribosomal RNA". It matches the Rfam family "Bacterial small subunit ribosomal RNA", at positions 29 to 507 of the family's 1533-position model. The record is from RNAcentral.